AAGUUGCCUUUUCUGUUAAUGUACAGUGAACAUCUCAUAAUCAAGAAACAGUUUGUUCCAUGGACAUUGCCGUAUUCUUUAAAAGAUUGUGUUAAUGGUUGCUGAUUAUCCUGAAAUGAACGACAGAACUUACAUGUAAAUUCAUGACAAGUACAGUAGUAAUAAUUCUAAAGUAGGCUGAGGUCUGUAAAAACUCGGCUGAGAGUACUAAUACUAGUACAAAGUUAACAGCUCUACAUUUUUUUGUUUUUAUUUACUGAUUGUUUUAUGUUGUUUCUUUUAAUGAUCAAUUU
RNAcentral lists this long non-coding RNA (293 nucleotides) under Amphimedon queenslandica. RNAcentral's name for it is "uncharacterized LOC109587594, transcript variant X1". The record is from RNAcentral. Lineage: Eukaryota; Metazoa; Porifera; Demospongiae; Haplosclerida; Niphatidae.